This 479-nucleotide ribosomal RNA is filed under the name uncultured bacterium. RNAcentral describes it as "bacterial SSU rRNA". It matches the Rfam family "Bacterial small subunit ribosomal RNA", at positions 29 to 507 of the family's 1533-position model. The record is from RNAcentral.
ACGAACGCUGGCGGCGUGCCUAACACAUGCAAGUCGAACGAAGCUUGACGAACGAUUCUUCGGAUGAAUUCUGAUAUGACUGAGUGGCGAACGGGUGAGUAACGCGUGAGGAACCUGCCUCAAAGAGGGGGGACAACAGUUGGAAACGACUGCUAAUACCGCAUAAGCCCACGGCUCGGCAUCGAGCAGAGGGAGAAGGAGCAAUCCGCUUUGAGAUGGCCUCGCGUCCGAUUAGCUAGUUGGUGAGGUAACGGCCCACCAAGGCGACGAUCGGUAGCCGGACUGAGAGGUUGAACGGCCACAUUGGGACUGAGACACGGCCCAGACUCCUACGGGAGGCAGCAGUGGGAAUAUUGCACAAUGGGGGGAACCCUGAUGCAGCGACGCCGCGUGGAGGAAGAAGGUCUUCGGAUUGUAAACUCCUGUUGUUGAGGAAGAUAAUGACGGUACUCAACAAGGAAGUGACGGCUAACUACGUG